UACAGAGGUCUCAAGCGUUGUUCGGAUUCAUUGGGCGUAAAGGGUGCGUAGGUGGCGCCGUAAGUCGGGUGUGAAAUUUCGGAGCUUAACUCCGAAACUGCAUUCGAUACUGGCGUGCUUGAGGACUGGAGAGGAGACUGGAAUUUACGGCGUAGCAGUGAAAUGCGUAGAUAUCGUAAGGAAGACCAGUGGCGAAGGCGGGUCUCUGGACAGUUCCUGACACUGAGACACGAAGGCCAGGGGAGCAAACGGG
Molecule: ribosomal RNA, 253 nt
Filed under: uncultured bacterium
Lineage: Bacteria
Description: partial 16S ribosomal RNA
Rfam family: Bacterial small subunit ribosomal RNA
Source: RNAcentral